This 460-nucleotide ribosomal RNA is filed under the name uncultured bacterium. RNAcentral's name for it is "partial 16S ribosomal RNA". It matches the Rfam family "Bacterial small subunit ribosomal RNA", at positions 338 to 795 of the family's 1533-position model. The record is from RNAcentral.
CCUACAGGGGGCAGCAGUGAGGAAUAUUGGUCAAUGGACGAGAGUCUGAACCAGCCAAGUAGCGUGAAGGAUGACUGCCCUCUGGGUUGUAAACUUCUUUUAUAUGGGAAUAAAACGUUCCACGUGUGGGAUUUUGUAUGUACCAUAUGAAUAAGGAUCGGCUAACUCCGUGCCAGCAGCCGCGGUAAUACGGAGGAUCCGAGCGUUAUCCGGAUUUAUUGGGUUUAAGGGGAGCGUAGGUGGAUUGUUAAGUCAGUUGUGAAAGUUUGCGGCUCAACCGUAAAAUUGCAGUGGAAACUGGCAGUCUUGAGUACAGUAGAGGAGGGCGGAAUUCGUGGUGUAGCGGUGAAAUGCUUAGAUAUCACGAAGAACUCCGAUGGCGAAGGCAGUUCACUGGACUGCAACUGACACUGAGGCUCGAAAGUGUGGGUAUCAAACAGGAUUAGAUACCCCAGUAGUC